Molecule: ribosomal RNA, 429 nt
Filed under: Gemmatimonadota bacterium
Lineage: Bacteria; Pseudomonadati; Gemmatimonadota
Description: Gemmatimonadetes bacterium partial 16S ribosomal RNA
Rfam family: Bacterial small subunit ribosomal RNA
Source: RNAcentral
UAGGGAAUCUUCGGCAAUGGACGAAAGUCUGACCGAGCAACGCCGCGUGAGUGAAGAAGGUUUUCGGAUCGUAAAACUCUGUUGUUAGAGAAGAACAAGGACGUUAGUAACUGAACGUCCCCUGACGGUAUCUAACCAGAAAGCCACGGCUAACUACGUGCCAGCAGCCGCGGUAAUACGUAGGUGGCAAGCGUUGUCCGGAUUUAUUGGGCGUAAAGCGAGCGCAGGCGGUAUCUUAAGUCUGAUGUGAAAGCCCCCGGCUCAACCGGGGAGGGUCAUUGUAAACUGGGAGACUGGAGUGCAGAAGAGGAGAGUGGAAUUCCAUGUGUAGCGGUGAAAUGCGUAGAUAUAUGGAGGAACACCAGUGGCGAAGGCGGCUCUCUGGUCUGUAACUGACGCUGAGGCUCGAAAGCGUGGGGAGCAAACAGG